Dioscorea cayenensis subsp. rotundata (Guinea yam) is the source of this 3891-nucleotide RNA transcript. RefSeq lists it as uncharacterized. NCBI's taxonomy places the organism in Eukaryota, Viridiplantae, Streptophyta, Magnoliopsida, Dioscoreales, Dioscoreaceae. The transcript is spliced from 15 exons. The record is from RefSeq and is a predicted model, not a curated record.
CGGGCCCUUUGCUCCUGGCGAGGCGAGGGACGGUAGUAGAAGGGAGCAAGCAUUCCAUGGGGAACUCCGAAGAGGAAGCAGAUGAAAUGCUCCAAGAUGCAACCUUGGGAACUCAAUCCCCACAAAGCGAUCUUUUUGAUACUAAACUUCGAGAGAUGGUGGAAAGCAAUCCGAUUGAUUUUGAUACUUGGAUAAUGCUUAUAACAGAAAUUGAGAAUAUGGAACCUAAUAGCAUAAAAAGAAUCACCCAGGUUUAUGAUCAUUUCUUGUCAGAAUUUCCUUUGUGCUAUGCGUAUUGGUCAAAAUAUGCAAGUCACAAGGCACGAUUGUGCACUUUGCAAGAGGUGCAAGAUAUCUAUGAGCAGGCUGCCGGAGCACUGGCAUACUCUGUAGACCACUGGGUCAAUUAUUGUAGCUUUGCUAUUAAAUGCUAUGAAGAUCCUGCUGAUGUUCGAAGAUUAUUUAAAAGGGCAUUAUCUUUUGUUGGAAAGGACUACUUGUGUGAUCGUCUUUGGGAUAAAUAUAUUGAAUUUGAGUAUUCUCAGAAACAAUGGACUCACCUUGCUCCUAUCUACAUUAACAUUCUGAGAUUUCCAACAAGAAAUUUGAAGAACUAUUUUGAAAGUUUUAAAAAGUUGCGUUCUAUAUGGGAAGAAAUGGGAUGUUUAGAAAGUGACGAUGUUACAAUAGAGGAUGUACCUACUUGUGAAGCUGAAAAUGUAAAGUCUUACAAAUAUGCUGAGUUAUCAGAUAUAGUUGGAAACCUCAUAAAUGGAGAAGAUGGUCAUCCUGAUUCUAAUACGUUGAAACAAUAUUUAUCAGCCGGGGAGCAAUUGUAUCAUAAGUCAACUCAAAUAGACGGUGAUAUCAAAUGUUUUGAGGCAUGCAUAAGGAGGCCUUAUUUCCAUGUCAAUCCACUUGAUUGUUCUCAACUUGAUAACUGGCACAAGUAUCUUGACUUUGUUGAACAUCAAGGAGAUUUUGACUGGACUGUAAAACUGUAUGAGAGAUGUUUAAUUGCUUGCGCUAAUUACCCAGAGUUCUGGAUCCGUUACGUGGAAUUUGUAGAUGCUAAGGGUGGUAGAGCAAUAGCAAACAAUGCCCUUAAGCGAGCAUCAACUGUCUUUCUAAAGAAAAAUCCAACCUUCCAUAUUUACUAUACUAUGUAUAAAGAGCAAGUUGGCGACAUCUCCAGUGCACGUGCUUCUUUUCCUCAAUGCUCCUGUGAUUCAACGAUUGACCUUACUGAGAAUGUUAACAGACAAGCCAACAUGGAAAAGCGCAUGGGAAACAAUGAAGCCGCUUUUCUGAUAUAUGAGAAAGCAAUUGAAGUGGCAACGAAGAAUGAUGAUUCCAAUGCUUUAUCAAUACUAUAUUCUAAUUUUGCUCAGUUCACACUUGUGGUAACUGGUAGAAUAGAUGCUGCAAGAGAGGCUUUUGUCAAAGGAGUUCAACAGAAGCCUUGCAAAUCGAUGAUAGAGGGCUUGAUGCAGUUCCUAACCAUGCAUGGUGACACCAGACAGUUACCUGAAGUGGAUGGUUUUAUGGCUAAUUUAAUUUCUCCUGGAACAGAUUUAUCACGGUCUUUGAGCUCUAAUGACCGAGAGGACAUCUCAAGGUUGUUUUUAAAGCAGUUAGUUGACCAAUAUGGAACUAUUCAUGACAUCAGAAAGGCAUGGGAUCGUCACUGGAAACUUUUUCCACAUGUAAUGAGACCUUCAGUUAACCAUACAACCACUGGGAAAGGUACCUUUGACAAUAUAGCAGAACUAAAAGCUGCAAUGUUGGCUACUUCAUUUCAUCUUGUGAAUGGAGAAAAUAGCCAUGAUGAGCCAGACACACAUACAGAAAGAUCAUCUCUGGGAAAUAUUACCAGCACAGUGCCUGAAGAGGUUCUGACAUUGCCUUCACAGGCAAAAGAAAUCAGAAGUGAUGCAACAGGAAUGUUGGCACAUGUUGAAACUGCUUCUGAAAUGCAACCACAUUCUGUAGUUGAAGACAUUGAACUGAAAAAAGAGACCUGCGAUAAUAUUAAACCUUCAAGCGAUAAUCUCUCAAUAAAUUAUCUGGAAGUUGAAACUCAGAAAACCAAGCUGACUGGUUCUCCUGACCGGACUGCUCCUCUGGUAGAUUCCAGAUCAAAUGGAGCCUUUAAAGAUUCCAUGUCCAGAUCCUCUGGACCUCAAGUAAAAUUUGAAAAGGAUUUUAGUCCAAUGCAUUCAGCCAGUGAUCAGAGUUCCCUUGAAUCACAGAAGGGUUCAGUUGUGCAGAAAUCCAGUAAUGAUGAGAACUCUGCUGGGACACACUACAGUGUGCUGGCCCGAGAGGACUACCAUCACAGAUCUCAUUCAAGCGUUCAAUCUCCACAGCCUCAAGAAAAGCAGGUAGCUGCUGCACAUGUACAAUAUGCCCCAGCAGUUACAAACUCACAAAUGGCCACAAAUCAAAGUUAUCCAUGUCAGUCUCCGACUGCAAAUGUUCAACAAAGACAACAAGCUGAUCAAGUCCAAGUUCCAUAUCAAAUGACUGCUGCUCAAGUUUACCCAGUUAGUAACAUUGCCUGGCCAGGACACAAUAUGAUGCAGCAAGGCUUUGUGUAUGCCCAAGCACAACCGAGCACCCAGUCAGCUACCUUAUCUCCCGCUAUGCAAGUAUAUCAAUACGUUUUACCAGGCAAUGAACAGUAUGGAUAUCUUCAAAAUGGACAAGGAUUCCCUCCUCAUAUAUGGCAGUAUUAUCAGCAACAGCUUUAUUAUUUGCAACAGGUGCAGCUACAACAGCAACAGAACCAACAAGCAAACUCGACACAGCAGCAACUACAGAUUGAGCAAUUGCAACAGAUGCAAAACCUGCAACUACAGCAGCUGCAACUUCAAAAUCAACAACAGUCACUUGUGAUGCAGCAGCAAAACCAGCAUCAUGUUAGCCAACAAGAAGCACAGCACUCAUCACAGCAGGAAAAACAUGAACAGCUGCAGCAAACGUCUCCAUAUCAGCAACAGAACCAACAGAUGUCACAUGAGCAGCAGCUUCUAUACCUGCAGCAGCAACAGCUAUAUAUACACCAGCAACAACUUCUCUUGCAGCAGCAGCAGCAACAACAGUUACUUCAGCAGCAACAACAUCCUCAGAAUCAGCAGCAGCAGGCACCACAGCAACAGCAGACACUUCAAGAACAGCAGAUGCACCAGAUGCAGCAGCAAUCAAGUUCCUCAGAUAGGCAUUAUUUACAGCAUGCUGUUCACAUACAGCAUUAUUCAGCCAAUCAACUUGCGCAGCACUAUGGCCAGCAAGCUGUUACAUCCCAGUCUUCACAGGGUGAAGGUUCAAAAUCUCCAAAUGCUGAGCAAUCUGCUUCUCCUUCGGACUCGAGACAUCGGCAGACUCCAUCGACUCAAUGAGCCUAUCCAGGAAAAAGCCAGAACCAAACUAACAACUUUCCAUUAGGAUCAAAAUUCAUCCAAAUGGUACAUCAACCUGCAUAUCACAGGAAUCUUGAUUUUCAGUUAUUCGACACGAAGAUUAAGUAGUUACAUCAGUGGCCUCAGCCUUAAUGUGCACCUUCUGCUCCAUUAUCAUGCAAGAGUCUGAAGCAGUUUCUUACUGGCCCAGGUAUCAUGCAUGUGUUUAUCAAUCUAUCUUCAUAACAUUUUGAUCCCCAGAAUAUAAAUUUCUUUUUGGUGUCAUGUUUACAAAAUAUCUCUUGGGGUUUUGGAGGUGUUGAGGAUGUUUACUGUAAAGACAUACUUUCUCAUGUUAUUAUGCUGAUAAUUUGUGUCCUUUGAAAAUGUAUAUGAAAAUGUUGUUGUUCUUUUGGUAUAUCCACUGCCCUCAUUCAAACUUAAGUGAUUUUCUGUUGUGUUUCAUUUGCAAAUGUGAGAAUGACCUGCA